UUCCGUAGGUGAACCUGCGGAAGGAUCAUUACAGAGUUCAUGCCCGAAAGGGUAGACCUCCCACCCUUGUGUAUUAUUACUUUGUUGCUUUGGCGAGCUGCCUUCGGGCCUUGUAUGCUCGCCAGAGAAAACCAAAACUCUUUUUAUUAAUGUCGUCUGAGUACUAUAUAAUAGUUAAAACUUUCAACAACGGAUCUCUUGGUUCUGGCAUCGAUGAAGAACGCAGCGAAAUGCGAUAAGUAAUGUGAAUUGCAGAAUUCAGUGAAUCAUCGAAUCUUUGAACGCACAUUGCGCCCCUUGGUAUUCCGGGGGGCAUGCCUGUUCGAGCGUCAUUUCAACCCUCAAGCUUAGCUUGGUAUUGAGUCUAUGUCAGUAAUGGCAGGCUCUAAAAUCAGUGGCGGCGCCGCUGGGUCCUGAACGUAGUAAUAUCUCUCGUUACAGGUUCUCGGUGUGCUUCUGCCAAAACCCAAAUUUUCUAUGGUUGACCUCGGAUCAGGUAGGGAUACCCGCUGAACUUAAGCAUAUCAAUAAGCGGAGGAA
Molecule: ribosomal RNA, 540 nt
Rfam family: 5.8S ribosomal RNA (bases 179-332)